GAAUUCACUAGUGCAUUUUCCGGUUGAUCCUGCCGGAGGUCACUGCUAUCGGGGUUCGAUUAAGCCAUGCGAGUUGAGAGGGUUAAGACCCUCGGCGGACUGCUCAGUAACACGUGGAUAACCCGCCCUAAGGUGGAGGAUAACCCCGGGAAACUGGGGAUAAUACUCCAUAGGUUAAAGGUACUGGAAUGUUCUUUAACCGAAAGUUCCGGCGCCUUAGGAUGGAUCUCCGGCCGAUUAGGUUGUUGUUGGGGUAGUGGCCCAACAAGCCUGUAAUCGGUACGGGUUGUGGGAGCAAGAGCCCGGAGAUGGAAUCUGAGACACGAUUCCAGGCCCUACGGGGCGCAGCAGGCGCGAAAACUUUACAAUGCAGGAAACUGUGAUAAGGGAACCCCGAGUGCCCGUAUAUGCGGGCUGUCCGGAUGUUUAAAACGCAUCCGAAGAAAGGGCCGGGCAAGACCGGUGCCAGCCGCCGCGGUAAUACCGGCGGCUCGAGUGGUGGCCACUUUUAUUGGGCUUAAAGCGUUCGUAGCUUGAAUAAUAAGUCUCUUGGGAAAUCUGCAGGCUUAACCUGCAGGCGUUUAAGAGAAACUGUUGUUCUAGGACACGGAAGAGGUGAGAGGUACUCCGGGGU
RNAcentral lists this ribosomal RNA (634 nucleotides) under uncultured archaeon. RNAcentral's name for it is "bacterial SSU rRNA". It matches the Rfam family "Archaeal small subunit ribosomal RNA", at positions 1 to 626 of the family's 1478-position model. The record is from RNAcentral.